GGUUUUCACACCCGGAGUGGCCACAGCGGAGCGGGCGAGUCGAUCCUAAGCUGCGGGGCGGUGGUGCGUGUCCAGCCGGCCACUGUGGAGCAGCGCGCGGCUGGGAGGUAAACAGAGGAGAGGCGUCUGUCUGCAGACUAGUGCGGCGACCGGUCCAGCCUAUUCAAAAAGAUGCCAAUGUUUGCUUCUUUCAUACCACAACGGCGAGUCCGAUGGGUCCGUUGAUGACCCAGUUGGGUAUAGGGUUGUCGUUCCUCUCCCAGCACCUGUCAAUCAAAAUGCGCUUCGGUUGGAUGGGCCGAACGUGCGAGCGAGCGUGACGUCAGCAUGCCUGAGACGCAGCGGUCUGUCACUCACCCCGUGUCCUCCAGGUAAAUUCUGGUCAGAACCCACGUCAACACAAACACGCUCGGGAUGCCUGCGCCAUUCAGGGAGCAAAGCCGGUACAGUAUUAGGGUGACCUCACCUCUGCCAAAUUGGAUUUUAGACCUCCACUCAUGAUGUCAUUGAACAUAACGGAAAGACUUGGGUUCAAUUCAUUGGCUAGUGUGGCGCUCCUUCCAGUGUGUACAUUAUGGCCACCAGGGGGCAGCGAUGGCAGAAGACGCUCACAGCGUUUUAGGAAGUUGCAGUAAUACUGUAUUAGGAAAGUGCUUCUUUGCAGAGGACAAAGAAAAUAUGCAUGAGUGAUCGAGUGAAUCCACAAUUACCAAUUGGCGAGGAAACAGCGUAAUAUGAUUAGAUAAGGCAAUGCGGAUAAACGAAGGAACGUGAUGAGUCAUGUGGAUGCAACCCGUAUAUUUUUGUGUUUGGAUGUAGUGAUGCGUUUUACCCCAUCCGAUGAGCAUGUAGACGGCAAAGUGUGUGUUUUGCGAGAACAUGGCCACCAGGAGUGUGUGGAGGUACAAGGCCUCCACCAGCAGCCAGAAGAAAUUGGCCAUGAUGAAGUACUGCAACAAUAUUAAGCUGGCUCGACACACCACCUGACACACACAGGAUUAAUCAGGCCGUGACGCUUAUUGGCAUCAACGCUCAUCACCAGACAUCUCAGCGUUCCCGUCGUUCAUUCCUUGGCACAAAGACGAACGAUUUGGCUGAGUGUACCCAGUGAAAGGCGGGGUGUACCUAAUGAAGUGUCUCACCAGGGAGGGCUGCGCGCCGCAGUGCGCCGCACGGCCGAACAAGAGGUGGUCCUUCACCAGCACGGCGGCCGCCCUCAGGAUGAAUGACAGGAACAGGUUCAGGUGGAUGGAGUUCCUGGUGCAGCGCAGCUU
Long non-coding RNA from Hippocampus zosterae (dwarf seahorse), 1274 nucleotides. RefSeq lists it as uncharacterized. NCBI's taxonomy places the organism in Eukaryota, Metazoa, Chordata, Actinopteri, Syngnathiformes, Syngnathidae. The transcript has 2 exons. The record is from RefSeq and is a predicted model, not a curated record.